AUUGACCGCUGGCGGCAGGCUUAACACAUGCAAGUCGAACGAGUGGCGGACGGGUGAGUAAUGUCUGGGAAACUUCCCGAUGUUGUUGGAUAACUCCUGUAAACGGUAGCUAAUACCGCAUACCAUCGGAUGUGCCCAGAUGGGAAUAGCUAGUUGUUGGGGUAACGGCUCACCUAGGCGACGAUCCCUAGCUGGUCUGAGAGGAUGACCAGCCACACUGGAACUGAGACACGGGCCAGACUCCUACGGGAGGCAGCAGUGGGGAAUAGUGCACAAUGGGCGCAAGCCUGAUGCAGCCAUGCCGCGUGUAUGAAGAAGGCCUUCGGGUUGUAAAGUACUUUCAGCGAGGAGGCGUUACUCGCAGAAGAAGCACCGGCUAACUCCGUGCCAGCAGCCGCGGUAAUUC
This 406-nucleotide ribosomal RNA is filed under the name uncultured bacterium. RNAcentral describes it as "partial 16S ribosomal RNA". It matches the Rfam family "Bacterial small subunit ribosomal RNA", at positions 30 to 526 of the family's 1533-position model. The record is from RNAcentral.